ACGGGUGAGUAAUGCAUCGGGAUCUACCUCAACGUGGGGGAUAACGUAGGGAAACUUACGCUAAUACCGCAUACGUCCUACGGGAGAAAGCAGGGGACCUUCGGGCCUUGCGCGGUGAGACGAACCGAUGUUCGAUUAGCUAGUUGGUAGGGUAAUGGCCUACCAAGGCGACGAUCGAUAGCUGGUCUGAGAGGAUGAUCAGCCACACUGGAACUGAGACACGGUCCAGACUCCUACGGGAGGCAGCAGUGGGGAAUAUUGGACAAUGGGCGCAAGCCUGAUCCAGCAAUGCCGCGUGUGUGAAGAAGGCCCUCGGGUUGUAAAGCACUUUUAUCAGGAACGAAAUACCACGGGUUAAUACCCUAUGGGGCUGACGGUACCUGAGGAAUAAGCACCGGCUAACUUCGUGCCAGCAGCCGCGGUAAUACGAAGGGUGCAAGCGUUAAUCGGAAUUACUGGGCGUAAAGGGUGCGUAGGCGGUUGUUUAAGUCUGUCGUGAAAUCCCCGGGCUCAACCUGGGAAUGGCGAUGGAUACUGGACAGCUAGAGUGUGUCAGAGGAUGGUGGAAUUCCCGGUGU
This 578-nucleotide ribosomal RNA is filed under the name Lysobacteraceae bacterium StRD408. RNAcentral describes it as "bacterial SSU rRNA". It matches the Rfam family "Bacterial small subunit ribosomal RNA", at positions 102 to 676 of the family's 1533-position model. Lineage: Bacteria; Pseudomonadati; Pseudomonadota; Gammaproteobacteria; Lysobacterales; Lysobacteraceae. The record is from RNAcentral.